GUCCCUUUAUCAAGGUUAAGAAAACACGAAAACAUCAAAACAAGGGGGGCUGCCCGAUGCCGAGCGCUGGCAGUGGCCCCGGAUGGCUUGCGGGACCGAGGGCAGGGAGAAGCCAGCGUCCCUCUGGCAGCCAGGGACGGGCAGCAGCCGCCCUGCCAGCCCGCGCUCGGCUCGGCCGCUAAGGGCCAAAUGCGCUGUCUUGUGCUCCCGCAGGCUGCCUUCUGGUACGGAAGAAGCAGAAGACCUAGAAGAUCUGACUGCUUGAAUAUUUUUACUGCUUGAAUGUCAUGUUUUGAGGUCGAUGCACUCACCUGCCAGUGCUUUCAUGCUGAGAUUUGUUGAAGUUGAUACAGUACCUUUGUCCUACUGGAAGGUUAAAGUUGGAGAAGGAAAUACUUGCUCCCAAGAAGCAGAAACUGAACUCUCCCAAAAGUUUGUAAUCAGGUGGUAUGUUCUGGGAAAACAAAACAUCAUGUUUCUUCAGUGCAUCCUGACCUUUUCAGCCACCCUUUCUUUGGAAGAUCUGACACAGACUAACAGCGCCUGCCCCAUCUGACAUGACAGCAUCAGUGCCUCUUUCAGAAGGGGUUUCUUCACAGUAAAUGUGUUUCUGUUUGUUCCAGUAAAUCUGGUAAUGCCAGAAAUGAAUCUUUUCCAGUCUGGUUUCCUAGAUGCAUGACUGCGGAG
This 687-nucleotide long non-coding RNA is filed under the name Zonotrichia albicollis (white-throated sparrow). Its description in RNAcentral is "lncRNA (ENSZALG00000006705.1)". The record is from RNAcentral. Lineage: Eukaryota; Metazoa; Chordata; Aves; Passeriformes; Passerellidae.